UGAAUACUCCCUUCGUCCGGAAAUACUUGUCGUAGGAAUGUAUGUAUCUAGAUAUAUUUUAGUUCUAGAUACAUUUAUUUUUAUCCAUUUUUGUGACAAGUAAUUCCGAACGAAGGGAGUACAAC
This is a non-coding RNA of Hordeum vulgare subsp. vulgare (domesticated barley), 125 nucleotides long. The record is from Rfam. Lineage: Eukaryota; Viridiplantae; Streptophyta; Magnoliopsida; Poales; Poaceae.